RNAcentral lists this ribosomal RNA (466 nucleotides) under uncultured bacterium. RNAcentral's name for it is "partial 16S ribosomal RNA". It matches the Rfam family "Bacterial small subunit ribosomal RNA", at positions 28 to 505 of the family's 1533-position model. The record is from RNAcentral.
GACGAACGCUGGCGGCGUGCUUAACACAUGCAAGUCGAACGGAAAGGCCCUGCUUUUGUGGGGUGCUCGAGUGGCGAACGGGUGAGUAACACGUGAGUAACCUGCCCUUGACUUUGGGAUAACUUCAGGAAACUGGGGCUAAUACCGGAUAGGAGCUCCUGCUGCAUGGUGGGGGUUGGAAAGUUUCGGCGGUUGGGGAUGGACUCGCGGCUUAUCAGCUUGUUGGUGGGGUAGUGGCUUACCAAGGCUUUGACGGGUAGCCGGCCUGAGAGGGUGACCGGCCACAUUGGGACUGAGAUACGGCCCAGACUCCUACGGGAGGCAGCAGUUGGGAAUAUUGCACAAUGGGCGGAAGCCUGAUGCAGCAACGCCGCGUGCGGGAUGACGGCCUUCGGGUUGUAAACCGCUUUCGCCUGUGACGAAGCGUGAGUGACGGUAAUGGGUAAAGAAGCACCGGCUAACUACG